Molecule: transfer RNA, 60 nt
Filed under: Cricetulus griseus (Chinese hamster)
Lineage: Eukaryota; Metazoa; Chordata; Mammalia; Rodentia; Cricetidae
Rfam family: tRNA
About the family: Transfer RNA (tRNA) molecules are approximately 80 nucleotides in length. Their secondary structure includes four short double-helical elements and three loops (D, anti-codon, and T loops).
Source: Rfam by way of RNAcentral
AUAGCUUAGUGGUUAAGAGCAUUGGCUGCUCUUCCACAGGACCUGGGUUCAAUUCCCAGU